Long non-coding RNA from Haliotis rubra (blacklip abalone), 184 nucleotides. RefSeq lists it as uncharacterized. The record is from RefSeq and is a predicted model, not a curated record. The transcript has 3 exons. NCBI's taxonomy places the organism in Eukaryota, Metazoa, Mollusca, Gastropoda, Lepetellida, Haliotidae.
UUGGACAAAGAAACGUGUUGUGAAAUCAUUUUCUCAGAAAGUAAAUUGUCAAAGAUCACAAUGAUUAUUCCCAUCCGCUGUUUCACGUGUGGGAAAGUGAUUGGCAACAAGUGGGAGGCCUAUAUUGGGUUGUUGCAGGUGGAAUACACUGAAGGAGAUGCCCUGGAUGCCCUGGGGUUGAGCG